Long non-coding RNA from Mytilus californianus (California mussel), 413 nucleotides. RefSeq lists it as uncharacterized. The record is from RefSeq and is a predicted model, not a curated record. The transcript has 4 exons. Lineage: Eukaryota; Metazoa; Mollusca; Bivalvia; Mytilida; Mytilidae.
UAAAGAACGAAACUGGCAGUAUUUUAAAAUAUAAUUCUGCAGAGAACAAAGAGAAGUCUGGAUUCAUCAUAGAAUUUGUAAAAGGCCCAAUAUCCUGAUGAAGUGGAGGGUGUUGUUAGAGAAGGGAUAAAGACAAAUUUUGAAUCGUUCAAAGCAAAGAAACGAAGAGACGAAACUGGUAAACAAGAAGAACAUAACAAGAAAAUGGCUGUGUACAGCAAGAUGAAAAUUAAACAACAGAAAAAGGCCCUAAAAGUAAAAGUCCAGUAUACCAGAGGAACAAAAAGAAAAGGGCUCGAAAAGCAGUGGUGCAGAACAUGUCUUAUGAACAAACAGAUUCAUAAGACGAAGGAUCGUUUAUCGUCAGACCUCUGCCUUGGAGGUCUGACGAUGUUGAUAAAUUAGUAAAAAAA